RNAcentral lists this unclassified non-coding RNA (200 nucleotides) under soil metagenome. RNAcentral's name for it is "partial contains internal transcribed spacer 2 and large subunit ribosomal RNA". The record is from RNAcentral.
CGAGCGUCAUUAUAACCCUCAAGCCCAGCUUGGUGUUGGGGCCUGCCGCCCGCGGCAGCCCCUAAAAUCAGUGGCGGUGCCUACCUCUGGCUCUAAGCGUAGUAAAUCUUCUCGCUAUAGGGUCUGGUAGAUGCUGGCCAACAACCCCCAAUUUUUCUAUGGUUGACCUCGGAUCAGGUAGGGAUACCCGCUGAACUUAA